GCUGACAUCAGGAUUUCAAGUCCCCACUGCACAUUUCUCAGUCACUUUGGCUCAUGCUGACUAUUCUAAUUGGAACCUAUCCUUACAGAUUUUAUGGUUAGGGGGAAUUAUCCUUAUCUCUCCAAGUUCUGGGAUCUAGUCUGGGUAAGGGUCACAAAAGUCCCACCCUCCUCAAGGUAAAUUGUGUUCUUCUUAUCUGCAUUUUGGGCCUGCAUUUCCCCUGCAGGUAACAGGUUGUUUGCUGAGGAGUGUGACACAUCAGCCAGGCAGGGGUGCAGGUAAACUGCUUUUUAGAAAAGACAGCAAGUAGGGGUCAGUACAGUGGGUGUCGUUUAUAGAAUUAUUCCCUCAUCCUCAUGACCACAUGUUGCCACCACACACAUCUGUCUGUUCCCUAUAGGUUUCCUUAUCAGAAGAGGAAGCGACACCAGGAUCAUGCCUGCACAGAGGAAGAGAUGUCAAGGACAGCCAGCAUAAAGCCAAGGAGGCCUCCGAGGAGGCCAAACCUGCCUAAAUUUCGAUUUCACACUUGUGGCCGGUAGAACCAUGAGCCAACACACUCCUGGUGUUUCAGCAGUCCAGUCUGCGGCAUUUUAUUACGGCAGCCCAAGCAGAUACACAUGCACACGUUCUAAGAUGCUUGCAUGUAGCCACAGUCGUAGAAACGCACACACGUAGACACAAACCCAGAUGCCACCCACGCAGACCCACACUCACACCCCUGCACUGCUGCACACCCCACCACUAGGCAGAGGGGGAGCAGAACGGAGACCGUGGAACUCAGCCUCAGCCUCACGAGUGGAUGAUCUCUGGAAAGGGAAAUAAGAAUGGAACACAAGCAUGAAACUCUGCAACUCAGAAAAGUGGCGAGAGGGGUAACGGGGUGGAGAGAAAGCAGCAGUGAAGACGGCGACGGGGCAAUUUCCAGGGUGGUGAACGUGGGAGUGACGUGGUGAACAGACAACACAGGAAUGAGGAGACAUGCCCCCGAGUCAAGAACUGAGUUCCGCAAGUGGCUUUGGUUUGAAUGGAAGAGAAGGAAAGGAAAACAAGAAGAGAGAGGGUAGGCAAACCCAUGUUUCCAGAGGGAACUCGCCUAGUUAUCACCAGGCUGCCCCUGGGAACGAGGCAGAGACCCUUUGCAGGAAUCCUGCGGAGCAGCCUGAAUGCAGGGCAUAGGAAUGCCUGCAGCUGGCUGCGGUUAGCUGCUGCCUCUUGCGGUACAUCUCUUAGAGCCACUUGGUUGCUCAGGGGCCUGACUUCUGGGAGCAAUAUAGGGCUAGUCCACCAAGCCCAGACACUACUGGCAUUUUGGAUCACUUCAGAUGGGGACUUUGCCUCAGCCUGUUUUGAUAUCUGUGAAUUAGAAAAUUCCAGACGGAAACGGCAACUUGAGAACAUUUCCUCUCUGGUACUCUCUCCAACGCGAUGGACGGGUCGCCGGACCCCCUCAUUAUGCCUGCUCUUUCCUUGUUGCCUUUGUCAGCAACAAAUUCACUGCCCUCCUCACUUUUCUGGCCCAUGGAGCCUGCUCCUUCUUUGCUAUGGACAACAACGUCCAUGGAAUCCUCGGAACCAGAGACUUUCGGGAUGUUCUCGUCUUUCCUCGCCUCAUCCUCCAUGAUGGACAAGGAGAAGCUGGCACUCUUCCUCAUAGAGCUAAUCACACUCCUGGUCCAGGACUUGGAGAAGCUGAAUGAAGAUCUGAGGGGAGGUGGAGCAGCUUCAGGUCUGACUGCCUCCCCACAGCGUCCUACUGGGCCAGCAGGUGAAGAAGGUUUUGUUUUCCAGGAGGCUGUUGAAGACAGAGGUUCUGAUCACAUUUGGAACACGAAAGAAGCAAAAAGGGUGGAAGAGUUGCAGUACAAAUGAAGAGAAGGAGAAUAAUAGCUGAGAGAAGGAAUGAAGAAGGAGUCCUGUAUCCAGUGGGGGAUACCCAACAUUACAUUAACACUUUAAAAAAGGGCACAUUGUCUCAGUUCAGGCACAUCAGAUGCCUGAAAGUGUGAAGCCAUGUGUUUGCUAAGACUGCACUUGCUUUUGGAACUGGACAAGAUCUGAUGGAAACCUGCAAACCCAAGUGGCCUGACCUUGAGAGCCAGAUUCACUCACUAGGAUGGACUGGAUGAUUCACCAUGAUGGUCUUGACUGAGAUGCCUUGUGGUGGGAUGUGAUACUUCAUUUGCAGAGUCACAGCCAAAGGAGCCAGAUGACACUCCAAAAGGCAGAGGAGGCUUCAUCAGACUAAAGAACAAAAUGACCUGUGGGGGUGACGCAGUAUAAGCCAGGAUAUUCAGGAGUAGAUGGCUUCAACAUUCAUGCUCGUGUUACUGUGGACAAGUGGGCGGACCUAAGAACUGAGAAGCACCCCACCACUGCAGAUGCAGCCCCCACAUGUAAGGAGACUGGGAAAGGUAAAGUGGUUAAGUCUCAGGGGACAGCAGGUGGCUGCUUUUAACUCUCCCUGCAGUGAGGGAAGGGGACAGGAUUGGGGAGCAAGGGGCAUUUUGUGGGGGACAGGGCAUAAUCAUAGGAAAAAUGGCUCCUGCAUCAUGGGGACUCUUUCAAGCUGCACUUGGAAUUAAAGGCCAUCAUACCAUCUGAGGAUGCUCAGAGGCUGGGGCAUGAAGUCUGGUAAUAGCCCUUUGACAUCAGAGGGGUUAUUAUCUCCACCACAUUUCUUGGCUUUUUGAAGGGCAAACAGAGACUGAAAUCACUAGAACAAUAAAACCACUCUUAGUGUUUUGGAGGCACAGAGCAGGUAGAGUGAAUUCUGAGCCACUGCAGAUAGUGACUGGGAGCACUUUGAAGCCAGAGAGCAAAUGGACCAUGUGGGAUGCGUAGAAAAAGCAGGCAGCAAAAAUCUAUUCUACCCAACCAGCUGCCCCAGCCAGACCCAGAGAGACCGUCUUUGACUCCUCCUAUUCCCUCCCCACUCCUCCAAAUGGGCUGUUUCCAUGGCUUGCUCUUAAGAACUAUGUUGCUAUGGACAUUUUAUACAUGUCUCCUGGUGCUCGUGGACAAGAAUUUCUGCAAGAUAAUGCCAAAUGGUUUUCAAAAGUGAUUGAGCCAACAUAACAAUCAGACACAAUGCAUGAAUCUUAGAUUAGGAAAAAAGAAACCAUGAAAGACGCAUUUGGGCCAUUGGUGAAAUUUGAAUAUGGACUGGAUAUGGUACUGUGAAAUUAUUGUUAACUUAAAAAAUGUAAAUGGUAUUGGAUAUGCACGAAAAUGUCCUUGCCUUAUUCUUUCUUAAUAGUAGUUUAGAAUUAAGUGCUAAGCUAUCUACAGUUUGUUUUCAAAUGCCUCUGUGUUUGGAGAAGGAGAGGGAGAGAGGGGCAGAGAAAAGAUAGAGGAGGUGAUAGAGAGAGAGGGAGAGAGGGAAAGGAGAAGAAAGUGGAAAGGUGGAGCGGGGGGAAGCAAAUGUAGCAGAAUGUUGUGGGUCAGGUGCAGUGUGGCAUUUUUCAAGAUAAAAACCUGUGAAAAGAAAAGAAAAAAAUGUUUGAACCAGCAAGAGCCUAGGUAGGAAAACCGAAACCACUUUAGGUAUUUCAGUUAGAGGGGAUUCAGUACCAUGAAUUGGCUUCAAAGGCUUUGGGCAUGGUGGAAGAGCAAAUGGAAGGGUGUGAGAAUGGACAAGCAAUGGGAGGAAACAGUGGUCCCCUCAAAGCAGAAGCCAUUAGUUCCCUUUAACUCAGCCCACAGGCCUGACCUUGCUUCUAUGGCAGCUUCUGCACCUGGCUCUGGAUUCCUGAAUAGGUGCUACCUCAAGCAGGACAGGAGCUUCAAGGUGCGACCUUGACUCAUCUGCUAGCUUUCAGCUCCCCUCCCCUCCAUGGCCACCUUCAUCAGUACCUGCCACCCACAGUCAAAGCCAGCAGCAGAGAGCUUUCCUCUGGCUCCUGCAUUCUGAUCUUUACCAGCACCUUCCAUGGGAGAACCUAACAGGAAACCUCUGAGCAGGGGAUGCUGGGAAACAGACCUUAACAGACUGCAAAGCCUCACAGUUCAGAGCAGAAGGAGGAUGUGGCACUCAGAGACAUUACAUUAGGCAUCUAGGGACACCCUCCCCCAGCAGUAGGCCAGAGUCCCCCCUGCCCCCAUCUUUGCUAACAUGUCAGACUUGGUAAGUCUGACUUUUUAGCUUUUGAGUUGGGCGUGACUCUAUUUAACUUGCAUUUCUGCUUAUCCUUGUGGCUAGUCUAAAUAUUUGUCCCUUGGAGAGACUAUCUCUGACAUAGCUGAUGAGCUUCUCCUGCUGUACCCUACCCUGGGCUUCUGCAUUGCACUCAUCAAAACUAAUAAUUAUACAUUCAUUUCUGAGAUUAUUUGAGUAAUAAUAGUCUACUCCAUUAUUGUGUAAAUCCCACAAAGGCAAGAUGUGUCUCUUGUUUUCUGUUGUAUUUCCUGUGAUGAGCACGUGUCAGGCACCUUGUAGGCACUUGAUUAAUAUAUCGAAUGCAUGAAUGAAGAGGGAUGAGCUGCAGUGCCAACCUUGUGUAGUGGAUUGGACUGAGAAGAGAAACAUCCCCUAGUCAUUCCUUUAAUUGUCAGUUACUGAGCAGGUCCGUGGUAAUGCCAGAACACCAUGGAAGUAAGCCAUUCUUUAUUGUUUGUUUUAUCAUAUGUUUAUAAGUGUGUAUAUAUAUGUAUGUAUGUGUGUGUAUAAAAUUUGUUGUAAAUAACAAUCAUCAACAAACUGCAUUGUGUCAGUCUUCUUUCUGUGACUAUAAUAAAUACUUGAGAUAGUCAACUUAAAA
Non-coding RNA from Ictidomys tridecemlineatus (thirteen-lined ground squirrel), 4760 nucleotides. Lineage: Eukaryota; Metazoa; Chordata; Mammalia; Rodentia; Sciuridae. The record is from RefSeq and is a predicted model, not a curated record.